Molecule: ribosomal RNA, 500 nt
Filed under: uncultured bacterium
Lineage: Bacteria
Description: partial 16S ribosomal RNA
Rfam family: Bacterial small subunit ribosomal RNA
Source: RNAcentral
AUUGAACGCUGGCGGCAUGCCUUACACAUGCAAGUCGAACGGCAGCACGGGAGCAAUCCUGGUGGCGAGUGGCGAACGGGUGAGUAAAGUAUCGGAACGUGCCCAGUCGUGGGGGAUAACGUAGCGAAAGUUACGCUAAUACCGCAUAGGAUCUAUGGAUGAAAGCGGGGGAUCGCAAGACCUCGCGCGAUUGGAGCGGCAGAUAUCAGAUUAGGUAGGUGGUGGGGUAAAGGCUCACCAAGCCGACGAUCUGUAGCUGGUCUGAGAGGACGACCAGCCACACUGGAACUGAGACACGGUCCAGACUCCUACGGGAGGCAGCAGUGGGGAAUUUUGGACAAUGGGCGAAAGCCUGAUCCAGCCAUUCCGCGUGCAGGAUGAAGGCCCUCGGGUUGUAAACUGCUUUUGUACAGAACGAAAAGGUUUCUACUAAUACUAGGAGCUCAUGACGGUACUGUAAGAAUAAGCACCGGCUAACUACGUGCCAGCAGCCGCGGUAA